Molecule: ribosomal RNA, 1526 nt
Filed under: Escherichia coli DEC4A
Lineage: Bacteria; Pseudomonadati; Pseudomonadota; Gammaproteobacteria; Enterobacterales; Enterobacteriaceae
Description: bacterial SSU rRNA
Rfam family: Bacterial small subunit ribosomal RNA
Source: RNAcentral
GAGUUUGAUCAUGGCUCAGAUUGAACGCUGGCGGCAGGCCUAACACAUGCAAGUCGAACGGUAACAGGAAGAAGCUUGCUUCUUUGCUGACGAGUGGCGGACGGGUGAGUAAUGUCUGGGAAACUGCCUGAUGGAGGGGGAUAACUACUGGAAACGGUAGCUAAUACCGCAUAACGUCGCAAGACCAAAGAGGGGGACCUUCGGGCCUCUUGCCAUCGGAUGUGCCCAGAUGGGAUUAGCUAGUAGGUGGGGUAACGGCUCACCUAGGCGACGAUCCCUAGCUGGUCUGAGAGGAUGACCAGCCACACUGGAACUGAGACACGGUCCAGACUCCUACGGGAGGCAGCAGUGGGGAAUAUUGCACAAUGGGCGCAAGCCUGAUGCAGCCAUGCCGCGUGUAUGAAGAAGGCCUUCGGGUUGUAAAGUACUUUCAGCGGGGAGGAAGGGAGUAAAGUUAAUACCUUUGCUCAUUGACGUUACCCGCAGAAGAAGCACCGGCUAACUCCGUGCCAGCAGCCGCGGUAAUACGGAGGGUGCAAGCGUUAAUCGGAAUUACUGGGCGUAAAGCGCACGCAGGCGGUUUGUUAAGUCAGAUGUGAAAUCCCCGGGCUCAACCUGGGAACUGCAUCUGAUACUGGCAAGCUUGAGUCUCGUAGAGGGGGGUAGAAUUCCAGGUGUAGCGGUGAAAUGCGUAGAGAUCUGGAGGAAUACCGGUGGCGAAGGCGGCCCCCUGGACGAAGACUGACGCUCAGGUGCGAAAGCGUGGGGGAGCAAACAGGAUUAGAUACCCUGGUAGUCCACGCCGUAAACGAUGUCGACUUGGAGGUUGUGCCCUUGAGGCGUGGCUUCCGGAGCUAACGCGUUAAGUCGACCGCCUGGGGAGUACGGCCGCAAGGUUAAACUCAAAUGAAUUGACGGGGCCCGCACAAGCGGUGGAGCAUGUGGUUUAAUUCGAUGCAACGCGAAGAACCUUACCUGGUCUUGACAUCCACAGAACUUUCCAGAGAUGGAUUGGUGCCUUCGGGAACUGUGAGACAGGUGCUGCAUGGCUGUCGUCAGCUCGUGUUGUGAAAUGUUGGGUUAAGUCCCGCAACGAGCGCAACCCUUAUCCUUUGUUGCCAGCGGUCCGGCCGGGAACUCAAAGGAGACUGCCAGUGAUAAACUGGAGGAAGGUGGGGAUGACGUCAAGUCAUCAUGGCCCUUACGACCAGGGCUACACACGUGCUACAAUGGCGCAUACAAAGAGAAGCGACCUCGCGAGAGCAAGCGGACCUCAUAAAGUGCGUCGUAGUCCGGAUUGGAGUCUGCAACUCGACUCCAUGAAGUCGGAAUCGCUAGUAAUCGUGGAUCAGUAUGCCACGGUGAAUACGUUCCCGGGCCUUGUACACACCGCCCGUCACACCAUGGGAGUGGGUUGCAAAAGAGUAGGUAGCUUAACCUUCGGGAGGGCGCUUACCACUUUGUGAUUCAUGACUGGGGUGAAGUCGUAACAAGGUAACCGUAGGGGAACCUGCGGUUGGAUCACC